Molecule: long non-coding RNA, 1429 nt
Filed under: Nicotiana tabacum (common tobacco)
Lineage: Eukaryota; Viridiplantae; Streptophyta; Magnoliopsida; Solanales; Solanaceae
Description: long non-coding RNA (NTAB_LNC000689)
Source: RNAcentral
GUCUUUCUUUUUCUCUUCUUUCUUUAGUUUUCAUAAAGUCGUUGCCACCUUGCCGGAAAUUUAUUGACCUACGGCAAGUUCCAUUGAUGGCUUCAAUCUACACAAGGAUACUCCCAAAAACCUCAAAUUUAUUUCUCCAAUCUCCACCAUAGUUGUUUAUGGGGGGUGAAAGUAUCAAGAUUACAGCAUAAACAAUCUUAUCAUUACUUUGUUAUAGCGACCAUAUAUUGUACCCUUCACUCACGUCAUAUUCAAGUAACUACUCAGUGUAACGAUCCGACCGAUUGUUUUCAGAGUUGUAGCCCCAUUCCCCCAUUUUCUAUUCAUUUCCUUCUUAAUUAUUGUUAUGUGAUUUGCCGGGGUAGUUGGUUCGAGUCCUGAAAGGUUUCAGAAUGAAUUGAGACACUUAGUCUCAAGGUUGGAAGUUUAAGUUAAAAAGGUUGACCGGAUGUUGACUAAUGUGUAAAUGACUCCAGAAUAAAGUUUUGAUGGUUCAGUUAGCUCCGUUGGAUGAUUUUUGAUUUAGGAGUGUGUCCGACAUAGAUCAGGAUACGAUUGGAAUUUGAAUUUUCUAAUUCACUCCUAGAGUAUUUGAGUACGAUAAUUUCAUAGCGCAAAUAUUAUGGAAUCUAUACCCUCAAUUGUCGGGAAACAAGCCCUCAACUUUGAUUUAUAGUAUAUAUACCUAGCAGAAUAUUACUAGUGGCACGUGAGGGAUACAACCAAAAUCAACAUGUGCCAAUUUUACUUGGCUAGAAAUUAUUCUUUUAGUAAUAAUGAUCAAACAGUCUCUAUUCCUUUGAUGUAGAAAUGUAUAUUGCCAAAUACAUAGGUAGUCCCCUAAACUUGUCCUGUUAUUUUAGUUAAAUAUUUAAAUUUAAAUUAGUAUUUAUUGAACACCUAAACUUUAUUAAAAUUAUCAAUUUAGCACAUUUAGUUAACAUGGCAGAGUAAGUGUUUUUCAUUCUCUUUGACCGUGUACAUAUUUGAAAAAUAAUUAACAUUUUAUUUUUUGUCUUUCUUUUUCUCUUCUUUCUUUAGUUUUCAUAAAGUCGUUGCCACCUUGCCGGAAAUUUGUUGACCUACGGCAAGUUCCAUUAAUGGCUUCAAUCUACACGAGGAUACUCCCAAAAACCUCAAAUUUGUUUCUCCAAUCUCCACCAUGGUUGUUUACGCGGGGUGAAAGUAUCAAGAUUACAGCAUAGUCUCAUGGUUCGGGUCCGGGAAAGUUUCAGAAUGAAUUGAGACACUUAGUCUCAUGGUUGAAAGUUUAAGUUGAAAACGUUGACCAGAUAUUGACUAAUGUGUAAACGACUCCGGAAUGAAGUUUUGAUGGUUCCGUUAGCUCCGAUGGGUGAUUUUUGACUUAGGAGUGUAUCCGAUAUGGAUCAGAAUACGAUUGAAAUUUGAAUUUUCUAGUUCAUUCCUA